GUGCCUUCGGGAACUCUGAGACAGGUGCUGCAUGGCUGUCGUCAGCUCGUGUUGUGAAAUGUUGGGUUAAGUCCCGCAACGAGCGCAACCCUUAUCCUUUGUUGCCAGCGAUUCGGUCGGGAACUCAAAGGAGACUGCCGGUGAUAAACCGGAGGAAGGUGGGGAUGACGUCAAGUCAUCAUGGCCCUUACGAGUAGGGCUACACACGUGCUACAAUGGCGUAUACAAAGAGAAGCGACCUCGCGAGAGCAAGCGGAACUCAUAAAGUACGUCGUAGUCCGGAUUGGAGUCUGCAACUCGACUCCAUGAAGUCGGAAUCGCUAGUAAUCGUAGAUCAGAAUGCUACGGUGAAUACGUUCCCGGGCCUUGUACACACCGCCCGUCACACCAUGGGAGUGGGUUGCAAAAGAAGUAGGUAGCUUAACCUUCGGGAGGGCGCUUACCACUUUGUGAUCCAUGACUGGGGUGAAGUCGUAACAAGGUAACCGUAGGGGAACCUGCGGUUGGAUCACCUCCUUA
Molecule: ribosomal RNA, 519 nt
Filed under: Providencia stuartii
Lineage: Bacteria; Pseudomonadati; Pseudomonadota; Gammaproteobacteria; Enterobacterales; Morganellaceae
Also listed under: 2 other names
Description: bacterial SSU rRNA
Rfam family: Bacterial small subunit ribosomal RNA
Source: RNAcentral